This 514-nucleotide ribosomal RNA is filed under the name Staphylococcus saprophyticus. RNAcentral describes it as "bacterial SSU rRNA". It matches the Rfam family "Bacterial small subunit ribosomal RNA", at positions 74 to 573 of the family's 1533-position model. Lineage: Bacteria; Bacillati; Bacillota; Bacilli; Caryophanales; Staphylococcaceae. The record is from RNAcentral.
AGGAGCUUGCUCCUUUGACGUUAGCGGCGGACGGGUGAGUAACACGUGGGUAACCUACCUAUAAGACUGGGAUAACUUCGGGAAACCGGAGCUAAUACCGGAUAACAUUUGGAACCGCAUGGUUCUAAAGUGAAAGAUGGUUUUGCUAUCACUUAUAGAUGGACCCGCGCCGUAUUAGCUAGUUGGUAAGGUAACGGCUUACCAAGGCGACGAUACGUAGCCGACCUGAGAGGGUGAUCGGCCACACUGGAACUGAGACACGGUCCAGACUCCUACGGGAGGCAGCAGUAGGGAAUCUUCCGCAAUGGGCGAAAGCCUGACGGAGCAACGCCGCGUGAGUGAUGAAGGGUUUCGGCUCGUAAAACUCUGUUAUUAGGGAAGAACAAACGUGUAAGUAACUGUGCACGUCUUGACGGUACCUAAUCAGAAAGCCACGGCUAACUACGUGCCAGCAGCCGCGGUAAUACGUAGGUGGCAAGCGUUAUCCGGAAUUAUUGGGCGUAAAGCGCGCGUA